Molecule: long non-coding RNA, 592 nt
Filed under: Prunus persica (peach)
Lineage: Eukaryota; Viridiplantae; Streptophyta; Magnoliopsida; Rosales; Rosaceae
Description: long non-coding RNA (PPER_LNC006640)
Source: RNAcentral
UGCAAUUAAAAAAAAUUUGAUGUGUACCAUUAUUGUUUUUCUAUUGCAAAAAGGUACACUUUUUAAAUAUAAAAAAAUACAAGCAAUAGCUAAACUACAACUAAGAGCAAAAUUUCUCACUCACACAUGUGUUAUCAAUGUGUUACGGAUAUGGAAGUUAAAAGGUAGGCAAAUUUUUUUUUUUUUUUUUGUUUGAGGACCUUUCUUAUUAAGAGGGGUGAUAACAUACUAAACUUAUACACACUACACAAAUGAUAUUAAAGAGUAGAUAUUUUUUAACUCCCAUAAAAAGCAAGAAAUAACUGAUUCGUAACUCCACCAACCAAAAAAUAAAUAAAAACUCCACCAAUCAAAAAUAAAAAAUAGAAACUCCACCAACCAAAAAAUAAAUAAAAACUCCACCAACCAAGUGUCAUACUGUUGGCCACUCUAAGACAUGGUAAGAUCAACGGCAAAAAAAGUUGGCAAAUACCAUAUCAACGGCUCAGAUCUCCCCCUGCCAUCUGAUGCGAGAUAUUAUUCCAGGACUAGUGGAGCACUACUAACCAGUCGGAAAAUAAAAUAAUAAAGAAAAAAGAAGAAGGAAAAAGUC